This 895-nucleotide ribosomal RNA is filed under the name uncultured organism. RNAcentral's name for it is "bacterial SSU rRNA". It matches the Rfam family "Bacterial small subunit ribosomal RNA", at positions 104 to 1013 of the family's 1533-position model. The record is from RNAcentral.
GGGCGAGGAAUGCGUUUCUAACGUGCCCCAAGGUCGAGGAUAGCUCGGGGAAACCCGGGGUAAUACUCGAUGACCCCCAUGGAUCGCAUGGUUCGUGGGGCAAAGGCUUGCUGCCUUGGGAUCGGGAAACGCCCUAUCAGGUUGUUGGUGAGGUAACGGCUCACCAAGCCUAAGACGGGUAGCGGGUGUGAGAGCAUGACCCGCCGCAUCGGGACUGAGACACUGCCCGGACUCCUACGGGAGGCUGCAGCAACGGAUAUUGGGCAAUGAGCGAAAGCUUGACCCAGCAAUGCCGCGUGCAGGAGGAAGCCCCUCGGGGUGUAAACUGCUGUCAGGGUUUAGGAAGUUCUGACCAAACCCAAAGGAAGGGCCGGCUAACUUCGUGCCAGCAGCCGCGGUAAUACGAAGGGCCCAAGCGUUAAUCGGAAUCACUGGGCUUAAAGGGUGCGCAGGCGGAAUGGUCAGUGUCUUGUGAAAUCCCACGGCUCAACCGUGGAACUGCAGGGCAUACUGCCAUUCUUGAGGCCGGUAGAGGCCGCCGGAACUCUAGGUGUAGCGGUGAAAUGCGUAGAUAUCUAGAGGAACGCCAAAGACGAAGGUAGGCGGCUGGGCCGGUUCUGACGCUCAGGCACGAAAGCGUGGGGAGCAAACGGGAUUAGAUACCCUGGUAGUCCACGCCGUAAACGUUGUGCACUAGGUGCUGGAGGUUCUGACACCAUCAGCGCCGAAGCGAAAGUGAUUAGUGCACCGCCUGGGGAGUACGGUCGCAAGGCUAAAACUCAAAGGAAUUGACGGGGGCUCACACAAGCGGUGGAGCAUGUGGCUUAAUUCGAGGCAACGCGAAGAACCUUAUCCUGGGCUUGACAUGCAUGGAUUAACGCUGGGAAACCAGCGC